CUAGGUAGUUUAUAUACUUCAAUUAGUCAUAAACAAAUUAAUAAACUAAAACUCAAGAAAAUAAUAUGAUCAAGUCGGAACUCAAAACUGGUGAAUUGAGCUAGGAUAGAAAAUCAUUAAUUAUAACUAUAACACUAUGGGCCAUAUAUAUGAUACCAUUUUUAGGCCCUCUAAUAAUCUACUGAAACUUUUUAUCGGGCUGAUGACUGACUUCAACCAAGCCCAAUAUAAUAGAUUGCUCCAAAAAGAAGCCCUUUAUACAAUUGGCCAAACGAGUGAUAAUGAAAUAGCAUUCUAAACAUACAUAUAAGACAAAAGGGGCUAUUAGAAGCUGACCUUUGCAAUCUUUGCCUUUUCAAUCAAAAAACCUAUAAUGUGUACAAAAUUAUUGAAUAACGAUAGAACUAAACUAAAACAUGGUAUAACUGGAUUAUUCAGCUCUCAAACCCCUUUUAGCAACCUUAAAUUCCUCCUUUUGGCUUCAUGGCUUACCCAUCUAACCAAUAGUUCUGCAAACUUCGGCCAAAUUAUCAAUAGGAAAUAACCUUUAUAUUCUCUAAAUGAAAAAAAUCCACAUGUUUUCAUAUACAAACCACUUAUCGUAAGAUCUCUGCUAUACUUCUUUUAAAACAAAGAUAAAACUACUAAAAGCAUAGUCAUGUUUUUGAGAGAAAGAAGGAGAACAUAGCAUGAAAUUCAAAUUGCAUGAAUAGUAAUAACCAUUUUCAUUGUCUAAUAAAAACCUCAAGUCAUUGUACAACUUAACAACACAAAUGCAAAGAAUACAAGAACCAAAACCGAUUAAGACUUCAAACAGGGCCGGAAAUCCCAAGAACAUUGUAAUAACAAACAAGCCAACUUCAUUUGUGCUCAGAAAACUUAAGAAAUCAGUAGUUUUAUUUGAAGCAACUUAGUCAAACAUACAAGAGGGUUCAGAAGAUUACCUAGCCAAAGAAAAUAGCCUAAGGAACAAAACAAGCUGCAAUUUCUAGCUCAGCUCAAACAAAACCUACAGUGAAUCAACCCAGGAUCCUUUCCCAAUCUCUGAAACCCAACCAAGAAAGGACCUCUAAAUAAAAAGAACUCAAAAAAAUUCUUCAGAAAACCUUCUAGAGAGUGUUUUUGUCGCAAAUAGAAAGAACUUAAAAAAUUUCUUCAGAAAACCUUUUGGAGAAUAUUUUUAGCCAUUUCCUAUUUUUCUCACUCUUUUUUAUGUGCCCUAAUCAUUUUUAUAGAAGGGAUAUUAGGGCAACCAAAUCAGUUCUUGUAAUUAAAAAGUGACCCUUAAGUUUAUGAUUUUAUUAACUUAAAACCCCUUCGCCCCAGGAUGAUCCUUCCAGCUCUUUUAUAGAAUAUUCCUAUAAGUUUAUUCAAAUCCUGUCAAAUUCCAAAACCAAGAGCCUUGUACUUACCCCCUUCCCCCAUUUGCUUUUUUUACUGCUUUAAAAUUUUUUACCUACAGUAUUGGACCUGCAGCGUGUAGGACUUAAGUCCAAUCCCUUUUUCUCGUACUAGAAAAAUCCAAAAAGAAACCAAAGCCAAAAACAAAUAAAAGCUUAUGUAGAGAAUUAAACAGUAAUUAAUUAACAAAAACUCAUGAUGUAUCUAUAAAAUCUAAUUAAUAAACUAUUAUUCAUUAAUUGGUCAAUUUUUCCCCCUAAAAAAUAAUCAAAAUUCUUUAGAUAGAAAUGGACUCUCAAUAGAAAUUGAGAAGAAAAGCGGGAGGAGAGGUAUACCAGUGGAAUCAAACAAUCUGCAAUGCCUUAUGAGAAGAACAACAAGGUCUUGAUUCGAAUUCGGACGAACAAACUCGACGACGAAAAUUUUAAAAGGAAACUGGCCAGACUCUCGUCCAUGCCCAAUGAUUCAUGCAAUAAUCCCCAUCGUAUGGCCAAGGUCAGACGAGGAAAAGACUUAGAGGGUUUGGGUCAUGAACAAUUAUUUGCCUUAAAAUCCUGCUAAUAUGUGAGAUGGGAUAAUCUCGAGACUAAACAACUCUGUUCAUUGCAAAAAAUGGGGAAUUCAUGCAGGUUUUAACAUGGAUUGAGGAUUUAAUCCAGAAAUUUGGACGAAAAGAAAAAAGCUUGGAUAUUUAUUCUUGGAUCUACAAUUUGAAGAAAUUGAGUGAUCUUUUAAAGAAGGACGAGGAGAUGAUGGGGAUUGGAUGGUUAAAAUUUGGAGGCUUUUGGGGGUGCUCUGCCUCUAUGAGACUAUUUCCGUAUGGCGGAGAGAGGGCAUAGGUGGGAGGCGAUUUAAGAGGAUGAAGACAUAGGUUUUUUCGGUUUAAUCGAUUUAGAUUAUUGCAAACCAUGAGGAUUUAGGUCAUUUAAUUGGGUAGAAC
This 2341-nucleotide long non-coding RNA is filed under the name Nicotiana benthamiana. RNAcentral's name for it is "long non-coding RNA (NBEN_LNC018735)". Lineage: Eukaryota; Viridiplantae; Streptophyta; Magnoliopsida; Solanales; Solanaceae. The record is from RNAcentral.